CCUACGGGUGGCAGCAGUGAGGAAUAUUGGUCAAUGGCCGGAAGGCUGAACCAGCCAAGCCGCGUGAAGGACGAAGGUGCCAAGCAUUGUAAACUUCUUUUGUCAAGGGACAAAAUCAGGCUCGAGAGCCUGACCGAGGGUACUUGAAGAAAAAGCAUCGGCUAACUCCGUGCCAGCAGCCGCGGUAAUACGGAGGAUGCGAGCGUUAUCCGGAUUUAUUGGGUUUAAAGGGUGCGUAGGCGGGCUGUUAAGUCAGCGGUAAAAGCCCGGGGCUCAACCCCGGCGAGCCGUUGAAACUGGCUGUCUUGAGAUGUCGAGAGGUAUGCGGAAUGCGCAGUGUAGCGGUGAAAUGCAUAGAUAUCACGCAGAACUCCGAUUGCGAAGGCAGCAUACCGGCGCUCAACUGACGCUCAUGCACGAAAGUGUGGGUAUCGAACAGGAUUAGAUACCCUUGUAGUC
RNAcentral lists this ribosomal RNA (459 nucleotides) under uncultured bacterium. RNAcentral's name for it is "partial 16S ribosomal RNA". It matches the Rfam family "Bacterial small subunit ribosomal RNA", at positions 338 to 795 of the family's 1533-position model. The record is from RNAcentral.